Long non-coding RNA from Myotis davidii, 294 nucleotides. RefSeq lists it as uncharacterized. The record is from RefSeq and is a predicted model, not a curated record. NCBI's taxonomy places the organism in Eukaryota, Metazoa, Chordata, Mammalia, Chiroptera, Vespertilionidae. The transcript is spliced from 3 exons.
AGGGGAAGAAUUGUUGACAAUUACGAAAUUGAUGCUCACUCAGGGGCGCACGCUUCUCCUCUGCAGUGUGGGGUCUCAGCCCUCGGCUACCGCGUAGUGGGCAGUUUCCAGUCCAGCGCAGGCCACCGUGGGGGCCCAGCCCAGAGGUCAAUGUGCAGGGAAUAAUAUCUCAAGUCACGGAAGCAUGAAUUUUUUGAAGCAGGAUUUGCUGUCGGGCACGCGAGUUCCGAUUUCAAUCCUGGGCCCGCCAGGGGAUUGGGGAAAGAGGUGGGGCGGCCCUGCUAAGCUCUCAGC